Molecule: ribosomal RNA, 486 nt
Filed under: uncultured bacterium
Lineage: Bacteria
Description: bacterial SSU rRNA
Rfam family: Bacterial small subunit ribosomal RNA
Source: RNAcentral
AGUGAACGCUGGCGGCAGGCCUAACACAUGCAAGUCGAGCGGCAGCACGGGGAGCAAUCCCUGGUGGCGAGCGGCGGACGGGUGAGGAAUACAUCGGAAUCUACCUCGUCGUGGGGGAUAACGUAGGGAAACUUACGCUAAUACCGCAUACGACCGAGAGGUGAAAGCGGGGGAUCGCAAGACCUCGCGCGAUGAGAUGAGCCGAUGUCGGAUUAGCUUGUUGGCGGGGUAACGGCCCACCAAGGCGACGAUCCGUAGCUGGUCUGAGAGGAUGAUCAGCCACACUGGAACUGAGACACGGUCCAGACUCCUACGGGAGGCAGCAGUGGGGAAUAUUGGACAAUGGGGGCAACCCUGAUCCAGCCAUGCCGCGUGGGUGAAGAAGGCCUUCGGGUUGUAAAGCCCUUUUGUUGGGAAAGAAAUCGUGCGGGUGAAUAUCCUGCGCGGAUGACGGUACCCAAAGAAUAAGCACCGGCUAACUUCGUG